UGGCGGACGGGUGAGGAAUACAUCGGAAUCUACUCUGUCGUGGGGGAUAACGUAGGGAAACUUACGCUAAUACCGCAUACGACCUACGGGUGAAAGCAGGGGAUCUUCGGACCUUGCGCGAUUGAAUGAGCCGAUGUCGGAUUAGCUAGUUGGCGGGGUAAAGGCCCACCAAGGCGACGAUCCGUAGCUGGUCUGAGAGGAUGAUCAGCCACACUGGAACUGAGACACGGUCCAGACUCCUACGGGAGGCAGCAGAG
This 257-nucleotide ribosomal RNA is filed under the name uncultured Stenotrophomonas sp. RNAcentral describes it as "partial 16S ribosomal RNA". It matches the Rfam family "Bacterial small subunit ribosomal RNA", at positions 96 to 354 of the family's 1533-position model. The record is from RNAcentral. Lineage: Bacteria; Pseudomonadati; Pseudomonadota; Gammaproteobacteria; Lysobacterales; Lysobacteraceae.